RNAcentral lists this ribosomal RNA (439 nucleotides) under uncultured bacterium. RNAcentral's name for it is "partial 16S ribosomal RNA". It matches the Rfam family "Bacterial small subunit ribosomal RNA", at positions 338 to 795 of the family's 1533-position model. The record is from RNAcentral.
CCUACGGGUGGCAGCAGUGGGGAAUAUUGCACAAUGGGGGAAACCCUGAUGCAGCGACGCCGCGUGAGUGAAGAAGUAUUUCGGUAUGUAAAGCUCUAUCAGCAGGGAAGAAAAUGACGGUACCUGAUUAAGAAGCCCCGGCUAACUACGUGCCAGCAGCCGCGGUAAUACGUAGGGGGCAAGCGUUAUCCGGAUUUACUGGGUGUAAAGGGAGCGUAGACGGCAGCACAAGUCUGGAGUGAAAUGCCGGGGCUUAACCCCGUCGAGCCGUUGAAACUGGCAGACUUGAGUUGGCGAGAAGUACGCGGAAUGCGCGGUGUAGCGGUGAAAUGCAUAGAUAUCGCGCAGAAUUCCGAUUGCGAAGGCAGCGUACCGGCGCCAGACUGACGCUGAGGCACGAAAGCGUGGGGAUCGAACAGGAUUAGAUACCCCUGUAGUC